AUUCAUUUAUUAUAAAAAGUAUAUCAGGCUUCCAACUUGAAGGUUUAUUAAUUAAAAUGAGUA
RNAcentral lists this transfer RNA (63 nucleotides) under Homalodisca vitripennis (glassy-winged sharpshooter). Its description in RNAcentral is "tRNA-Gly". Lineage: Eukaryota; Metazoa; Arthropoda; Insecta; Hemiptera; Cicadellidae. The record is from RNAcentral.